Molecule: long non-coding RNA, 2500 nt
Filed under: Homo sapiens (human)
Lineage: Eukaryota; Metazoa; Chordata; Mammalia; Primates; Hominidae
Description: HSALNT0325457
Source: RNAcentral
AAAUUUUCAAAUGAAUGGUUUAAUCAUUAAAGUUAUUAGGCAAAAUCAAUGGGAAACUGUUUUAGGCAAAGAAAGUUUGAUUCCAUUUUGGUUUUGUUGUUGUUGUCAUCAUGGAAAAUUCUACCCUGUUAUCAUUUUAAAAUUCCUCAUCUCUCUUUGCUUCAAUGCUAUAAUUGCUAUUUCAUUGACUGGUUACAGCCUCAGAAGCUGGGUUGUUACCAUCUGCUUUAGCUUUCUAGAACUGCUGUAACAAAGCACUACAAACUGAGCGGCUUAAACAACAGAAAUUUAUAGUUUUGCAGUCAUAGAGACUAGAUGUCCAGACCUGAGGUUUUGACUGUGUUGGUUCCUUCCGAGGCUAUGAGGAAACAAUCUGUUCCAAGCCUCUCUUCUUGGCUUAUAAAGGGCCGUCUUCUCCCUCCUUUGUGUCAUUUUUCUUUAUGCAUGUCUGUUUCUGUGUCAAAAUUUUUCCUUUGUAUAAGGACGCCAAUCCUUAUGUAAGGAUGUUGGAUUAGGGCUCACCCUAAUCCCCUCAACUUGACUUAACAAAUUAUGUCUUCAAAGAUGUUAAGAUAGAGAGAUAGAGAUUGAGAGCCAUCUAUACUUACAUAGAGAGAGCUCUAUAGAUAUAGAGAUAGAGAUCUAUCUAUCUGUCUAUCUAUCUAUCUAUCUGUCAUCUCUCUAUCUAAUUGAAAGAUGAUAGAGAUCUCCUGUUGGUUCUGCUUCUCUGGAAAACCAUAAUACACUCAGUCACAAAAAAAAUAAAUAAAUAAACAAUUUUUUGUGCUCCAUAGACAACUUUUGAGCAAAGCAUAUCUGCUCUGCCUCCAUGUAGUCAUAGCAAAGGGCGAAUUUCUACUCUGAGGGACAGUGGAUGUCUUUUCCCUCUCUUUGAAGGAAGGGGUGGCUUAUCUGAUUCAUGAGUGUGGCAGUAGAGCCUUCAUUUCCCUUUGAGUGUCUUACCAGAGCAAGGAUUUGCUGAGUGAACUGCUGGCUGCCUGGUGGUCAGCUCAUGCACUUGGCCACAGUCAAGUGCAAGAAACCACCAGGGAGGGACAUUCUGACUUUUCUUGAUGUGACUCACAGUCACCAAAGGAGGAAAAGCCACUUACCUCAUCAAUGAGUUCAAGAGAAAGGACAAAAACAAGCUUAGCUCAGUCUUUCUGACAUUCUUUUAAAUGUUUCUGCCUGCAGAGAAUGUAUUUUUGUUUUGUUUUUUAUCUGUUCUCAGCCAUAUGGUGGUAUGGUUAAGGGCAGUCUUUGCCCCGCAGAGGUGGCCAACAUAUCUCUUGCUUUUUUUCUUAAUGACUAUCUAGGUAUGUUAAUUCUGGGUGAAGUGACGGAAAACCCAUUGCGAUUGCCUACUGAAGCUGUAUACUCUCAUCCAGUCUCUAUCAGUAGUAGAGUUGAUAUUUUGCUUCCAUGCUUUCUGACUUCUGUGACUUAUCUCUCAAUUAUUUCUGUACACAAGAGGGGAAGAAAAGGUGCAAUUUUUAUCAACCUAUAGCUCCUAGUACCAAGAAUAUAACAAGUUAGAAUUUUUUAUUUUCAUUGUUAUUGAAUUUGUCCUACUACCCAUGUAAUAAAUAUUAAACAGUCUAGCCUCUUAUCCAGUACCUGUGAGAGCAGAAUUAAUAUUUUUUCUUUUUUCUUUUUUAAUCACUUCCUAUUGUACAAUCUGUGACUUAAACUCAGUUCCAUGUAAUUUCACCUGCAUUUUAUAAUCCACUCUUUGCCUCCUCUACAUGAGAAACUCAUUCGCCUCCCUUUCUUUGGCGAGAGACCAAUUACUAGCUGAGAGCCACUAGGAAGAUUCUCCUCCUAAGAAGAAAAUGUGCCUUGUAAGAUGAUCAAGAAAAACUGAUCAUUAUGAGAAGUGAGUACAUUACUCUAUGCCUCUCUUCUGAUGAAGCGUUAAAAUAUAUAUUAGAAUCUCAAAAGUUGCAAGAGAUCCUACAACAAAGGAACAAACUUAGUGUUUAAUCUAGCAGUUUCCAAAUAUUCUUCACAGUGGGAGAUUUUGUUUGUGUGUUUAUUUGUUUGUGUUCUCCUAUGACAUUAUCAUCUCCCACCUCAGGGAUUUUGCUCUGACUGUGGUCCUGGGCCUUGCUCCAGUAUCCACUCUGGUAACUAUCAUCUGAUUUACAAUGCAUGCCUUUGGUUAUCUUUUUGCUUUUUUAUUUAGCACUGUUCCUCACUAAACAGUGAACUGCACAAGAGCAGAACUUUAUGCAUUGAGUUUUCUACUUUAUUACCAAUAUUUGCAAACAUGCCUUUCGAUAGCAAACAUUGAAACAAAGGAACCAAUCUCAAAAGAAUAAAUUUUUUAUGGAGUAUUCAUUAUCCAGUGCUUUUCUUUCUUAUUUUUAUAUUUCAAAUACUACUAUGUUAUAUCUGAUUAAGUGUAUUUAAAUCUGUAUUUCAGCACUUCAGACUUAAAGUUAAUAGAGAAAAACCUUAGGUUUGAAAAAUUAUUUUAUUUCCUAUGCCUUCUUCCACA